CAGCAGAACUGGUUCUUGUGUCGGUGCGGGUCUGUGCGGGUCUGUGCAGGUCGGUGCGGGUCUGUGCGGGUCGGUGUGGGUCUGUGCGUGUCAGUGCGGGUCGGUGCGGGUCUGUGUGGGUCGGUGCGGGUCAGUGUGGGUCAGGAGGGCGUCGGUGUGGGUCUGUGCGGGUCAGUGUGGGUCAGUGUGGGUCUGUGCGUGUCAGUGCGGGUCGGUGCGGGUCUGUGUGGGUUGGUGCGGGUCGGUGCGGGUCUGUGCGGGUCAGUGUGGGUCAGGAGGGCGUCGGUGUGGGUCAGUGCGGGUCGGUGCGGGUCAGUGUGGGUCAGUGUGGGUCUGUGCGUGUCAGUGCGGGUCGGUGCGGGUCAGUGUGGGUCAGUGUGGGUCAGGAGGGCGUCGGUGUGGGUCAGUGCGGGUCGGUGCGGGGUCAGUGUGGGUCAGUGUGGGUCUGUGCGUGUCAGUGCGGGUCGGUGCGGGUCAGUGUGGGUCAGUGUGGGUCAGUGUGGGUCAGUGCGGGUCGGUGCGGGUCUGUGCGGGUCAGUGUGGGUCAGGAGGGCGUCGGUGUGGGUCAGUGCGGGUCGGUGCGGGUCAGUGUGGGUCAGUGUGGGUCGGUGCGGGUCAGUGUGGGUCAGUGUGGGUCAGUACGGGUCAGUGCGGGUCAGUGUGGGUCAGUGCGGGUCAGUGCGGGUCAGUGUGGGUCAGUGCGGGUCAGUGUGGGUCAGGAGGGCGUCGGUGUGGGUCAGUACGGGUCAGUGCGGGUCAGUGUGGGUCAGUGCGGGUCAGUGCGGGUCAGUGUGGGUCAGUGCGGGUCAGUGUGGGUCAGGAGGGCGUCGGUGUGGGUCAGUGCGGGUCGGUGCGGGUCAGUGUGGGUCAGUGUGGGUCGGUGCGGGUCAGUACGGGUCUGUGCGGGUCGGUGCGGGUCUGUGCGGGUCAAUACGGGUGAGGGUCAGGGGAACGCCGGAGCCUCCAGCAGACAGAUGCGGGUGGAGGCUGUUUGAGCGUGAGGCGUGGACCGUAGAUGCUUCUGACAGCAGCCUGCUGUUUCACCCCUCCCUGCGGUGCCGCUCAGCGUCCGGUCCGUCUCCAGCGCUCGGCGCUCGUGGUGCUGAGUGUAAGUCAUCGGUAAUGAUGUUCUGGCAGCAGCCUGCUGUUUUAGCAUCGCCCUGUGGCUUUGUCUCUCUGCUGUGUGUUUGUGCGUGUGUGUUUGCGUCCCCUUCGGGUCUGAAGCACGUCCUGGUUCCGUGUCCGGUUCAGUGA
This 1254-nucleotide long non-coding RNA is filed under the name Betta splendens (Siamese fighting fish). RNAcentral's name for it is "lncRNA (ENSBSLG00000008985.1)". Lineage: Eukaryota; Metazoa; Chordata; Actinopteri; Anabantiformes; Osphronemidae. The record is from RNAcentral.